This 628-nucleotide ribosomal RNA is filed under the name uncultured bacterium. RNAcentral's name for it is "bacterial SSU rRNA". It matches the Rfam family "Bacterial small subunit ribosomal RNA", at positions 201 to 847 of the family's 1533-position model. The record is from RNAcentral.
GAAAAGGAUUUAUUCGCUUCAGGAUGGACUCGCGUCCAAUUAGCUAGUUGGUGAGGUAACGGCCCACCAAGGCGACGAUUGGUAGCCGGACUGAGAGGUUGAACGGCCACAUUGGGACUGAGACACGGCCCAGACUCCUACGGGAGGCAGCAGUGGGGGAUAUUGCACAAUGGGGGAAACCCUGAUGCAGCGGCGCCGCGUGGAGGAAGAAGGUUUUCGGAUUGUAAACUCCUGUCGUUAGGGACGAUAAUGACGGUACCUAACAAGAAAGCACCGGCUAACUACGUGCCAGCAGCCGCGGUAAAACGUAGGGUGCAAGCGUUGUCCGGAAUUACUGGGUGUAAAGGGAGCGCAGGCGGACCGGCAAGUUGGAAGUGAAAACUAUGGGCUCAACCCAUAAAUUGCUUUCAAAACUGCUGGCCUUGAGUAGUGCAGAGGUAGGUGGAAUUCCCGGUGUAGCGGUGGAAUGCGUAGAUAUCGGGAGGAACACCAGUGGCGAAGGCGACCUACUGGGCACCAACUGACGCUGAGGCUCGAAAGCAUGGGUAGCAAACAGGAUUAGAUACCCUGGUAGUCCAUGCCGUAAACGAUGAUUACUAGGUGUUGGAGGAUUGACCCCUUCAGUGCC